RNAcentral lists this ribosomal RNA (497 nucleotides) under uncultured bacterium. Its description in RNAcentral is "partial 16S ribosomal RNA". It matches the Rfam family "Bacterial small subunit ribosomal RNA", at positions 28 to 507 of the family's 1533-position model. The record is from RNAcentral.
GAUGAACGCUGGCGGCGUGCCUAAUACAUGCAAGUCGAGCGAACAGACGAGGAGCUUGCCUCUCUGACGUUAGCGGCGGACGUGUGAGUAACACGUGGAUAACCUACCUAUAAGACUGGGAUAACUUCGGGAAACCGGAGCUAAUACCGGAUAAUAUAUUAAACCGCAUGGUUCAAUAGUGAAAGACGGUUUUGCUGUCACUUAUAGAUGGAUCCGCGCCGCAUUAGGUAGUUGGUAAGGUAACGGCUUACCAAGGCGACGAUGCGUAGCCGACCUGAGAGGGUGAUCGGCCACACUGGAACUGAGACACGGUCCAGACUCCUACGGGAGGCAGCAGUAGGGAAUCUUGCACAAUGGGCGAAAGCCUGACGGAGCAACGCCGCGUGAGUGAUGAAGGUCUUCGGAUCGUAAAACUCUGUUAUUAGGGAAGAACAAAUGUGUAAGUAACUAUGCACGUCUUGACGGUACCUAAUCAGAAAGCCACGGCUAACUACGUG